RNAcentral lists this ribosomal RNA (372 nucleotides) under uncultured organism. Its description in RNAcentral is "partial 16S ribosomal RNA". It matches the Rfam family "Bacterial small subunit ribosomal RNA", at positions 527 to 896 of the family's 1533-position model. The record is from RNAcentral.
GUAGGUCCCGAGCGUUGUCCGGAUUUAUUGGGCGUAAAGCGAGCGCAGGUGGUUUAUUAAGUCUGGUGUAAAAGGCAGUGGCUCAACCAUUGUAUGCAUUGGAAACUGGUAGACUUGAGUGCAGGAGAGGAGAGUGGAAUUCCAUGUGUAGCGGUGAAAUGCGUAGAUAUAUGGAGGAACACCGGUGGCGAAAGCGGCUCUCUGGCCUGUAACUGACACUGAGGCUCGAAAGCGUGGGGGGAGCAAACAGGAUUAGAUACCCUGGUAGUCCACGCCCGUAAACGAUGAGUGCUAGAUGUAGGGAGCUAUAAGUUCUCUGUAUCGCAGCUAACGCAAUAAGCACUCCGCCUGGGGAGUACGACCGCAAGGUUG